GAUGAAGAACGUAGCGAAAUGCGAUAAGUAGUGUGAAUUGCAGAAUUCAGUGAAUCAUCGAAUCUUUGAACGCACAUUGCGCCCCAUGGUAUUCCGUGGGGCAUGCCUGUUCGAGCGUCAUUUACCCCCUCAAGCUCCGCUUGGUGUUGGGCGUCUGUCCCGCUUCGCGCGCGGACUUGCCCCAAAGGUAUUGGCAGCGGUCGUGCCAGCUUCUCGCGCAGCACAUUGCGCUUCUCGAGGCACCGGUGGGCCCGCGUCCAUCAAGCUCACCCCCCCAGUUUGACCUCGGAUCAGGUAGGGAUACCCGCUGAACUUAAGCAUAUCAAUAAGCGGAGGA
This 337-nucleotide unclassified non-coding RNA is filed under the name soil metagenome. Its description in RNAcentral is "partial contains 5.8S ribosomal RNA, internal transcribed spacer 2, and large subunit ribosomal RNA". The stretch from base 1 to 120 matches the Rfam family "5.8S ribosomal RNA", at positions 35 to 154 of the family's 154-position model. The record is from RNAcentral.